This is a non-coding RNA of Cricetulus griseus (Chinese hamster), 345 nucleotides long. The record is from Rfam. Lineage: Eukaryota; Metazoa; Chordata; Mammalia; Rodentia; Cricetidae.
GGAUGUGAGAGUGAACUGGCUGCCACAUCUGUCACCCCACUGACUGUCAGGUUUGAUUAGGCUAAUAUGGCUGACUAGGCAAGUGUUCCCUUCCUCUCUCACCCCUCCAUAUGUAUCCCUCUGAUGCACAGCCAAAAGUAAAAAGAAUGAUCUUCCCCAAAUGGAGGAGGACCGGUCUGCAGUCAAGGGUAAGAAUAGCUGUAUUCCCCUGCUAGAGCCCCCUAAGACCUCUCCGAUGUCAAAUAGAAGACAACAAAACCUGAUCCUAGGGUCAGCUUAUUCACUUACCAUAGUCCAGGAAGAUCCAGGUCCAUUACACUCCUUUCAUAUUCACAUUUAUUCUCU